Molecule: ribosomal RNA, 269 nt
Filed under: uncultured bacterium
Lineage: Bacteria
Description: partial 16S ribosomal RNA
Rfam family: Bacterial small subunit ribosomal RNA
Source: RNAcentral
ACCCUACGGGAGGCAGCAGUGAGGAAUAUUGGUCAAUGGGAGGAAUCCUGAACCAGCCAUGCCGCGUGCAGGACGACGGCUCUACGAGUUGUAAACUUCUUUUAAGAGGGAAGAGCAGAAGACGGUACCUCUUGAAUAAGCCACGGCUAACUACGUGCCAGCAGCCGCGGUAAUACGUAGGUGGCAAGCGUUGUCCGGAUUUACUGGGUGUAAAGGGCGUGCAGCCGGGAAGACAAGUCAGAUGUGAAAUCCCGCGGCUCAACCGCGGA